UACGUAGGGUGCGAGCGUUAAUCGGAAUUACUGGGCGUAAAGCGUGCGCAGGCGGUUUUGUAAGCCAGACGUGAAAUCCCCGGGCUUAACCUGGGAACUGCGUUUGGAACUGCAAGGCUAGAGUGCGGCAGAGGAAGGUGGAAUUCCUGGUGUAGCAGUGAAAUGCGCAGAUAUCAGGAGGAACACCGAUGGCGAAGGCAGCCUUCUGGGCUAGCACUGACGCUCAUGCACGAAAGCGUGGGGAGCAAACAGG
This 253-nucleotide ribosomal RNA is filed under the name uncultured bacterium. RNAcentral's name for it is "partial 16S ribosomal RNA". It matches the Rfam family "Bacterial small subunit ribosomal RNA", at positions 524 to 776 of the family's 1533-position model. The record is from RNAcentral.